GCCAUCGUAGCUCAGAUUGGUUAGAGCACUUCCUUGGUAAGGAAGGGGUCACCGGUUCAAAUCCGGUCGAUGGCU
RNAcentral lists this transfer RNA (75 nucleotides) under Pseudomonadota bacterium. RNAcentral's name for it is "tRNA-Thr". It matches the Rfam family "tRNA". Rfam says of the family: Transfer RNA (tRNA) molecules are approximately 80 nucleotides in length. RNAcentral also lists the same sequence under 1 other name. Lineage: Bacteria; Pseudomonadati; Pseudomonadota. The record is from RNAcentral.